Molecule: small RNA, 721 nt
Filed under: Pongo abelii (Sumatran orangutan)
Lineage: Eukaryota; Metazoa; Chordata; Mammalia; Primates; Hominidae
Description: processed transcript
Source: RNAcentral
CGCACAGAACAGUGUUCGGGCCGGGUCUGGAUCUGAGCUCAGGAACGCGGGGCAGGGCUGGGGGCAGCUCGGUGACGCGACCCAGGGACUCAAACGGGACGCCGGCCGGAGACACAGAUCCGGCAGCAAACCCCACGUGGUGCGCCUCUGAGCCUCCGCCCCUCUCCCGAGGCUACGGCAACUCUACUUCUCGCGAGAAUUGCUUCUAUGGCUCCAUCCUGCUUUCCGGCUGUCGCCCUCCUGCGAUAGGUUCUCAGCGUUACUUGCCUCUUCUCGCGAUAAUUUUUUUUUUUUUUAAAUCUCCCGAGGAAAGUUGAAGGAAGAGAACAAAAUUUUCAUCUCGCGAGACUUGUGAGCGGCCAUCUUGCUCCUGCCCUGACAGAUUCUCCUAUCGGGGUCACAGGGACGCUAAGAUUGCUACCUGGACCUUCGUUGACCAUGCUGUCCCGGGUGGUACUUUCCGCCGCCGCCACAGCGGCCCCCUCUCUGAAGAAUGCAGCCUUCCUAGGUCCAGGGGUAUUGCAGGCAACAAGGACUUUUCAUACAGGGCCGCCACACCUUGCGCCUGUACCACCUCUUCCUGAAUAUGGAGGAAAAGUUCGUUAUGGACUGAUCCCUGAGGAAUUCUUCCAGUUUCUUUAUCCUAAAACUGGUGUAACAGGACCCUAUGUACUCGGAACUGGGCUUAUCUUGUACGCUUUAUCCAAAGAAAUAUAUGUGA